AAGACCUUGCGCUUUUGGAGCGGCCGAUGUCUGAUUAGCUAGUUGGUAGGGUAAUGGCCUACCAAAGCUUCGAUCAGUAGCUGGUCUGAGAGGACGACCAGCCACACUGGGACUGAGACACGGCCCAGACUCCUACGGGAGGCAGCAGUGGGGAAUUUUGGACAAUGGGCGCAAGCCUGAUCCAGCCAUGCCGCGUGAGUGAAGAAGGCCUUCGGGUUGUAAAGCUCUUUCAGCCGGGAAGAAAAGGCUACGACGAAUAAUCGUAGCGCAUGACGGUACCGGAAGAAGAAGCACCGGCUAACUACGUGCCAGCAGCCGCGGUAAUACGUAGGAUGCGAGCGUUAAUCGGAAUUACUGGGCGUAAAGGGUGCGCAGGCGGUUUUGUAAGUCAGAUGUGAAAUCCCCGGGCUUAACCUGGGAACU
RNAcentral lists this ribosomal RNA (423 nucleotides) under uncultured bacterium. Its description in RNAcentral is "bacterial SSU rRNA". It matches the Rfam family "Bacterial small subunit ribosomal RNA", at positions 207 to 622 of the family's 1533-position model. The record is from RNAcentral.